GGCUUAUUGACAUAAGAUUUUAAGUCUAACCUGCCCCCUGGUUUAUUUAAAUGGCCGCAGUAUUUUGACUGUGCUAAGGUAGCAUAAUAAUUAGUUUUUUAAUUGAAAGCUAGAAUGAAUGGUAUUAUGAAAAAAUUACUGUCUCUUUUAAAAAAUUAAAAUUUUAUUUUUAAGUUAAAAAGCUUAAAUAUUAUUAAAAGACGAGAAGACCCUAUAGAAUUUUAUUUAAAUUAAUUGUUAAUAGAUUAGUAUAUAAAAUUUAAUAAUAAGUUUAUAUUUAAUUGGGGUGAUUAGAAAAAUUAAGUAUCUUUUUUUUAUAUAAACAUUAAUUUAUGAUUUUAUGAUUCACAUUAGUGAUUUAAGAAUAAAUUACCUUAGGGAUAACAGCGUAAUUUUUUUUUAGAGCUCUAAUCAAGAAAAAAGAUUGCGACCUCGAUGUUGGAUUAAAAUUUAUUUUUGGUGUAGUAGCUAAAAUAUUAAGUCUGUUCGACUUUUAGAAUUUUACA
RNAcentral lists this ribosomal RNA (506 nucleotides) under Plateumaris shoemakeri. RNAcentral describes it as "partial 16S ribosomal RNA". The stretch from base 380 to 506 matches the Rfam family "Bacterial large subunit ribosomal RNA", at positions 2473 to 2600 of the family's 2925-position model. The record is from RNAcentral. Lineage: Eukaryota; Metazoa; Arthropoda; Insecta; Coleoptera; Chrysomelidae.